Molecule: transfer RNA, 58 nt
Filed under: Ormosia hosiei
Lineage: Eukaryota; Viridiplantae; Streptophyta; Magnoliopsida; Fabales; Fabaceae
Description: tRNA-Val
Source: RNAcentral
UUAUUUUGGCUUUUUGGCCCCAUAUUAAGGCAGAGUUUGGUUUUUUGGGGGUGAUAGU